Molecule: transfer RNA, 65 nt
Filed under: Xya japonica
Lineage: Eukaryota; Metazoa; Arthropoda; Insecta; Orthoptera; Tridactylidae
Also listed under: 1 other name
Description: tRNA-Ile
Source: RNAcentral
AAUAAAGUGCCUGAUUAAAAGGGUUAUCUUGAUAGGAUAAAUUAUAUGUUUAUUCAUCUUUAUUA